Molecule: ribosomal RNA, 522 nt
Filed under: uncultured bacterium
Lineage: Bacteria
Description: bacterial SSU rRNA
Rfam family: Bacterial small subunit ribosomal RNA
Source: RNAcentral
AUCCAGCCAUGCCGCGUGCAGGAAGACGGCCUUAUGGGUUGUAAACUGCUUUUGCAGGGGAAGAAUAAGGACUACGAGUAGUUUGAUGACGGUACUCUGCGAAUAAGCAUCGGCUAACUCCGUGCCAGCAGCCGCGGUAAUACGGAGGAUGCGAGCGUUAUCCGGAAUCAUUGGGUUUAAAGGGUCCGUAGGCGGGCUAAUAAGUCAGAGGUGAAAGCGCUCAGCUCAACUGAGCAACUGCCUUUGAAACUGUUAGUCUUGAAUGGUUGUGAAGUAGUUGGAAUGUGUAGUGUAGCGGUGAAAUGCUUAGAUAUUACACAGAACACCGAUAGCGAAGGCAUAUUACUAACAAUUAAUUGACGCUGAUGGACGAAAGCGUGGGGAGCGAACAGGAUUAGAUACCCUGGUAGUCCACGCUGUAAACGAUGGAUACUAGCUGUUUGGUUGCAAGACUGAGUGGCUAAGCGAAAGUGAUAAGUAUCCCACCUGGGGAGUACGCACGCAAGUGUGAAACUCAAAAGA